This 1625-nucleotide unclassified non-coding RNA is filed under the name Anthonomus grandis grandis. RNAcentral describes it as "g-protein coupled receptor Mth2-like". Lineage: Eukaryota; Metazoa; Arthropoda; Insecta; Coleoptera; Curculionidae. The record is from RNAcentral.
UUAUGUUUUGCUUACAUCUAAUAUAAUGUGCCUAUUACUUUCCAUGUUGGUAAAGUUAUUGCUUACGGUGUUCUUAUUCCAGACAUGCCAAAGUGAAGAUUUAUGUAGUGUGAUUAGCCAUACAAACCGAACGACUUACUCGACGAAAAGUCAGGAAAAUUGCGGUUGUGCGGAAACUCGGUGCAUAAGAAAGUGUUGCAAACUAGGUUUCGCUUUACAAAAAAAUAAGAUUUGUCUAAAACGAACUUCCGAUGAACCCUUUCAAGUGCCCCUGUACAUUAAGCACACCAGUUUUUCCACAAUAUUAUCCGGCCGUAAUAUAAGCCGUUUCAAAGUGGGCAUAUUAAAGUGUAAAUUUUUUAAACUGGAUCGUGAUAAUCCCGAGGACGCGUUUUUUAUCCAAGAAAAUGGUGACUUAUGGAUGCCGAGCAAUGGGAAAAGUUACGGGAAUGGGGAAUAUUGUUUGGACGAGCGGAACGGACUGACAGCCUUCGUUUGUUUCGAUAACAACAGUUCCGAGUUGCAGGAAGUCCUUGCUGAAGAUGCCGAAUCUACCGGAAUGCUCAUCUCCAUGCCAUUCCUGGCAAUCACGUUCAUAGUAUAUGCCCUGCUGCCGGACAAGAAUUUGUACCAGUAUGCCUUAAUGAUUUAUGUACUUACACUGUUUUUGGCUUAUCUACAAUUAGUGCUGAUAAACUAUAUAACCCUUAUUGAAAACGAGGCAUGCAUACUUAUAGGAUAUUUGACACUGUUCUCGUUCACCACCUCUUUUUUCUGGUUGAACGUCAUUUGUUUUGAUAUCUGGUUCACUUUCAGUCGUGGAAGAAGCAUAGUGGGAGGAAGACGUAGUUCAGAAAUAAAAAAACUUGGUUUCUACAGCAUUUACGCUUUCGGAGUCCCUUUGGUGCUAAUCAUUCUGGUUUACCUACUCCAGACGGAGUUCCUGGACCCCUUAUCGAUUCACAACCCGAAAAUCGGCAAAGGAAAGUGUUUUUUGGAAACCGGAUGGCCCAGUUUAUGGUACUUAUACUUGGAAGCCGGGUUGAUAAUAAUUGCGAAUCUAGUCUUCUUCAGUUGGACCGCCGUCAGUAUCAGAAAAGUGAAGAAGGAAACCGCGAUGUUGAAGCAUAACGACAGCAAGAGGCACGCAUACGAGAAAAGCCAGAAGAAGUUUAAUUUAUUUAUAAAGCUAGCCUUUGCAAUGGGGAUCAACUGGAGCACUGAAAUAAUCUCCUGGUUCGUAAACUGGCAAACCGACAGCGCUUAUUCCAAAAUCUGGAUCGUCACUGAUUGCGUAAACGCCCUCUAUGGCGUCUUCAUUUUCUUUAUAUUCGUUUUCAAAAAGAAAACUUGGAGGUUAUUGAAGAGGCGUUUUUUGGGUCAAGUGAUUCCGAUAAGCGAAUAGGAGAGUCUAAAUGUCCAGUUCCAUGUUUGUGUUGUCCCAAUUUUAGAUUUUAUCGGAAGACCGCUUACAGAUACUACGCUUUCAGAGGCAAAGUUUACUUGGCCCACUCGAUGGGAGGCACGUCGUCUCGCCCCACGAACAUUUCGACCACCGAGAGCACCGUGACCACCACAGUAAACGGGGCCAGGCGACCCGAAGAUAAUAUUUUAUUACAUGACAG